This is a long non-coding RNA of Topomyia yanbarensis, 1220 nucleotides long. RefSeq lists it as uncharacterized. The record is from RefSeq and is a predicted model, not a curated record. The transcript has 3 exons. NCBI's taxonomy places the organism in Eukaryota, Metazoa, Arthropoda, Insecta, Diptera, Culicidae.
CGCGUAUAAUUCUGGCUGGUUCUAAUUAGUAUUCGGCUGUAGCGCCACAAACGAUAGUUAUUAUAAUCGGUUGCGUCACAUGAGCCGCGUGCUAACUAGAGCCAGGAAGACUUGCGGUUCAUUUUCCAGCUGGUAGAGGAGGUGUCCUAAUUAUCACCUGCAGUGGUGAUUCAGUAAAAUCGUAGCCAGACACAAAAACGCAUUUUUGUCAAAUGCCAAUCUUGUUUGCUACCAGUUUCGUACACCAAAAUAUCUGUUUUAACACCAUGAUUCAACCAUCCCAACCACGAUAUUUCAGCGUCAAUCACCAAUAUUUCCCAGCAGCAACAAAUUAAGACCAUCAUCCGUCCGAUCGUUCUAACGGCGGUUCUGCCAAAGGAUUUGACGUUAAUUAAAUAACCGCUACUAGAUGACCAUUGGCAAACAGCACAAGCUGCAGCAGAAACCACAAACUGGAAUAUCAUCCAGAUUCCGCAGCAGCAGAUACAGCAACAGCACCUUGAGGUACACACAACAGCAACAGUAUACAGCACAGUUCUAAGAAGCGGGAGCAUCUGAGGAAUCACUGUUCAACUUGUGUAUCAGCCGUAGCCAGCUAAUUUUUUUAAUUUCAAGAACAUCAGUACCUUGAUCAAUCGAAUUGGCCACAAAUCGCUCGACAGCAGCAACAGGACACCAAACACAACGGCAAGGUGCUCUGAACAUUUUCUGUCAAAACACGUUCUCCAGACAAACGGUAAUCAAGGGUUGGUGGAAUCGCAGAUCAUGCUCACGAAGAAAACUCGCAGCUCAUUAUUAUCCCAUUUUAUUCCAACAGCAAAAUGAAAUCAAUGAAUAUUGAAAAAAAUGUAAAAGGGAGUAUAGUUGUUAUUGAUAUGGAGAAAUGAGUUGAAAUGAUUUGAACGAGAGGUCAGAGACGAUAUGGUGAAAGAAUGUUAGUGUAGCAUUCUUUUCUAAUCCUGCUUAGAAAGGUGGCCUGGAGUAUGAUUUUUCAUGUCAGUCAGCUUGCUCGGUUUAUGCUGCUUAGAAAUAACGGCAAGUGAAGUGUAUAAAUGGAUAACAUGCAAGCUAUUGAACCGUCUCAAUUUGUGUACCUUUUUCGUGCUGAACAGUAUCUUAGGGUGCUUACAGAGUGGCGGCGAGAAGCUGAGCUGGGGCUGGAACUGACAUUAGAAUGCGAGAUGCGAGAAACCUGCUUGCUGCAAACCAAAGGGAUGAUG